GAGGGUGUAGCUUAAGUGGUAGAGCGUACACUUAGCAUGCACAAAGUCCUGGGUUCAAUCCCCAGUACCUCCA
Molecule: transfer RNA, 73 nt
Organism: Camelus ferus (Wild Bactrian camel)
Lineage: Eukaryota; Metazoa; Chordata; Mammalia; Artiodactyla; Camelidae
Rfam family: tRNA
About the family: Transfer RNA (tRNA) molecules are approximately 80 nucleotides in length. Their secondary structure includes four short double-helical elements and three loops (D, anti-codon, and T loops).
Source: Rfam